Molecule: unclassified non-coding RNA, 208 nt
Filed under: Hevea brasiliensis (rubber tree)
Lineage: Eukaryota; Viridiplantae; Streptophyta; Magnoliopsida; Malpighiales; Euphorbiaceae
Source: RNAcentral
AGAAUAGGUUAUUGGUCUAACUAUUCUGGUCUCUCAGUUGCCGCGCCUGAAUUUUUCUAUGGAAAGCCGCCAAACAUUUCCAGCAGUAGUCAACAACUAUAUGGUGUCAUUUGGCCUGGUGAAACCACGACAAAACCCCGUGGUUGGGUGUUCCCGAACAAUGGAAAAGCUCUGAGGAUCGGAGUUCCUAACCGAGCAAGCUAGAAGG